Molecule: ribosomal RNA, 457 nt
Filed under: uncultured bacterium
Lineage: Bacteria
Description: partial 16S ribosomal RNA
Rfam family: Bacterial small subunit ribosomal RNA
Source: RNAcentral
CCUACGGGCGGCAGCAGUGAGGAAUAUUGGUCAAUGGGCGAGAGCCUGAACCAGCCAAGUCGCGUGAGGGAGUACUGCCCUAUGGGUUGUAAACCUCUUUGUCGGGGAGCAAAAGCCGGACGUGUCCGGCUGUGAGAGUACCCGACGAAAAAGCAUCGGCUAACUCCGUGCCAGCAGCUGAGGUAAUACGGGGGAUGCGAGCGUUAUCAGGAUUUAUUGGGGUGAAAGGGUGCGCAGGCGGAUUGUUAAGUCCGCGGUCACAUCGUGGGGCUCAACCCCGUCCAGCCGUUGAAACUGGCAGUCUUGAGUACAGUAGAGGUAGGCGGAAUUCGUGGUGUAGCGGUGAAAUGCUUAGAUAUCACGAAGAACUCCGAUUGCGAAGGCAGCUCACUGGACUGCAACUGACGCUGAUGCGCGAAAGCGUGGGUAUCAAACAGGAUUAGAUACCCGUGUAGUC